GGGUUGUUAGCUCAGUUGGCUAGAGCAUCUCGUUUACACCGAGGGGGUCGGGGGUUCGAGUCCCUCACAACCCACCA
This 77-nucleotide transfer RNA is filed under the name Candidatus Saccharimonadota bacterium. RNAcentral describes it as "tRNA-Val". It matches the Rfam family "tRNA". Rfam says of the family: Transfer RNA (tRNA) molecules are approximately 80 nucleotides in length. Their secondary structure includes four short double-helical elements and three loops (D, anti-codon, and T loops). Further hydrogen bonds mediate the characteristic L-shaped molecular structure. tRNAs have two regions of fundamental functional importance: the anti-codon, which is responsible for specific mRNA codon recognition, and the 3' end, to which the tRNAs corresponding amino acid is attached (by aminoacyl-tRNA synthetases). tRNAs cope with the degeneracy of the genetic code in two manners: having more than one tRNA (with a specific anti-codon) for a particular amino acid; and 'wobble' base-pairing, i.e. permitting non-standard base-pairing at the 3rd anti-codon position. The record is from RNAcentral. Lineage: Bacteria; Candidatus Saccharimonadota.